RNAcentral lists this ribosomal RNA (371 nucleotides) under uncultured bacterium. RNAcentral describes it as "bacterial SSU rRNA". It matches the Rfam family "Bacterial small subunit ribosomal RNA", at positions 527 to 896 of the family's 1533-position model. The record is from RNAcentral.
GGAGGGUGCUAGCGUUGUUCGGAAUCACUGGGCGUAAAGCGCGUGUAGGCGGCCCAUUAAGUCUGAUGUGAAAGCCCGGGGCUCACCCCCGGAAGUGCAUUGGAAACUGAUGGGCUGGAGUCCCGGAGAGGAGGGUGGAAUUCCUGGUGUAGCGGUGAAAUGCGUAGAUAUCAGGAGGAACACCGGUGGCGAAGGCGGCCCUCUGGACGGUGACUGACGCUGAGACGCGAAAGCGUGGGGAGCAAACAGGAUUAGAUACCCUGGUAGUCCACGCCGUAAACGAUGGGCACUAGGUGUCGCGGGUAUUGACCCCUGCGGUGCCGACGCUAACGCAUUAAGUGCUCCGCCUGGGGACUACGGCCGCAAGGUUA